RNAcentral lists this unclassified non-coding RNA (182 nucleotides) under uncultured Cladophialophora. RNAcentral's name for it is "sequence contains ITS2". The record is from RNAcentral. Lineage: Eukaryota; Fungi; Ascomycota; Eurotiomycetes; Chaetothyriales; Herpotrichiellaceae.
UCACCCCUCAAGCCCCUGUGCUUGGUGUUGGACGGCUUCGGUCGAAUAACGUCGACCCCUCCUAAAGACAAUGACGGCGGCCUGUGGAACCCCCGGUACACUGAGCUUUUAACCGAGCACGUACCGGAUGAGGGUGCCCAGGACACGGUCCUUCCUCCCUUCAGUGGGAAAGUUUUCUAAGG